AAGGGGUUAGUAGAGUGGCAAACGGGUGAGUAACACGUGGGUGAUCUGCCUCAGAGUGGGGGAUAACGACCCGAAAGGGUCGCUAAUACCGCAUAACAUCCUGCCUUUGGAUAGGUGGAGAUCAAAGCCGGGGAUCGCAAGACCUGGCGCUUGGAGAGGAGCCCGCGGCCGAUUAGCUAGUUGGUGAGGUAAUGGCUCACCAAGGCAACGAUCGGUAUCCGGCCUGAGAGGGCGGACGGACACACUGGGACUGAGACACGGCCCAGACUCCUACGGGAGGCAGCAGUGGGGAAUUGUUCGCAAUGGGCGCAAGCCUGACGACGCAACGCCGCGUGGAGGACGAAGAUCUUCGGGUCGUAAACUCCUUUCGAUCGGGAAAAACGCCUACGAGGCUAACAUCCUCGUAGAGUGAUGGUACCGAGAGAAGAAGCCCCGGCUAACUCUGUGCCAGCAGCCGCGGUAAUACAGGGGGGGCAAGCGUUGUUCGGAAUUACUGGGCGUAAAGGGCCAGUAGGCGGCCAACUAAGUCCGACGUGAAAUCCCCAGGCUCAACCUGGGAACUGCGUCGAUACUGGAUGGCUUGAAUUCGGGAGAGGGAUGC
Molecule: ribosomal RNA, 601 nt
Filed under: uncultured bacterium
Lineage: Bacteria
Description: bacterial SSU rRNA
Rfam family: Bacterial small subunit ribosomal RNA
Source: RNAcentral